This 342-nucleotide ribosomal RNA is filed under the name uncultured eukaryote. RNAcentral describes it as "partial 18S ribosomal RNA". It matches the Rfam family "Eukaryotic small subunit ribosomal RNA", at positions 1470 to 1797 of the family's 1831-position model. The record is from RNAcentral.
CCCUUAGAUGUUCUGGGCCGCACGCGCGCUACACUGAUGAAUUCAACGAGUAUACUUUUCUUCGGAAAAUUCCUUGGUUGAGAUGCCUAGGUAAUCUUUUAAACGUUCAUCGUGAUGGGGCUAGAUUAUUGCAAUUACUAAUCUUAAACGAGGAAUUCCUAGUAAACGCAAGUCAUCAGCUUGCAUUGAUUACGUCCCUGCCCUUUGUACACACCGCCCGUCGCACCUACCGAUUGAAUGGUCCGGUGAAAACCUCGGAUUUCUGGUUAUUUCUAGCAAUAGAGAUUUUCGGGAAGAAGUCGUUUAAACCUUACCAUUUAGAGGAAGGUGAAGUCGUANCAA